Molecule: ribosomal RNA, 380 nt
Filed under: uncultured bacterium
Lineage: Bacteria
Description: bacterial SSU rRNA
Rfam family: Bacterial small subunit ribosomal RNA
Source: RNAcentral
UAAGACAGAGGUGCCGAGCGUUAGGCGGAAUCACUGGGCUUAAAGCGUGUGUAGGCGGACCGUUAAGUGCCUUGUGAAAUCCCACGGCUCAACCGUGGAACGGCUGGGCAGACUGGCGGUCUUGAGCCACCUAAGGGCGGACGGAACAAGCGGUGGAGCGGUGAAAUGCGUAGAUAUCGCUUGGAACGCCGACGGCGAAAGCAGUCCGCUGGGGGUGAGCUGACGCUGAGACACGAAAGCCAGGGGAGCGAACGGGAUUAGAUACCCCGGUAGUCCUGGCCGUAAACGAUGUCGACUAGGUCGCGGCCGCCCCUGACGGGCGGUCGCGGCCGCAGCAAAAGUGCUAAGUCGACCGCCUGGGAAGUACGGUCGCAAGGCUA